GAAGGUGCUUGCUUCUCCUUUGCCUUGUGCCAUAAUUGAGCAGAUAAUUGAGAGGCCUGGCCCAUGGAUGGGUUUGAACCACCUCAGGACUGAAGAUGAGAGGCUCAGUUUCACUAACAAUAAGAACAGUGACAAAUUCCCUGCCCUGCCAAAGCCCUGUGGUCCUUAUGCAGGACCUUCCCCUAGGAUGCUGUUCUCUGCGCAGGAGCCUGAGCCUUUCUGCCACCCGACAGUGACUGCCACAGCCAGGAUUAAGCCAACUGUCAGCAAAGAAGGAGGAAGAUAAACCCUGUGUGCAGACAGAAUGGGGGCUGUGUGGGCUGAGGGCACAGAAUGUUUCUCCAGCCACCGCAGGAAGCAGCAAGAAUACAGAAUCCUGGUUGCCUCUGACAAUUUUUCCUUUUUUUUUUUUUUUUUUUUUUUUCCUUUUUGGAAGCUGGAGAUCCCUGUGCCAAGCCCUCAAAGCAGCCCCGACUUUCCGUGCAAUAAAGCAGCAGUGAGAAAGGCUCAGAGUAAUUAAGUGGCUGACGCACAGAAGAAGCUGUUACAAAGAAUUGACUAAAUUGCCCAUUCAUUAGCAGCUCGGCAUGGAAGGAGAAUUACAAAUAGACGGCGGAGCCCGCAGUAAUUCAAUCUAACCUUGUACUUACAGAAAACAAUGAGAUAAUGAACAGAAAAA
RNAcentral lists this long non-coding RNA (679 nucleotides) under Pongo abelii (Sumatran orangutan). RNAcentral describes it as "lincRNA". Lineage: Eukaryota; Metazoa; Chordata; Mammalia; Primates; Hominidae. The record is from RNAcentral.